GGAGAGGUGGCCGAGUGGUUGAAGGCGCCGGUCUUGAAAACCGGAGACCCGCAAGGGCCCGCAGGUUCGAAUCCUGUCCUCUCCG
RNAcentral lists this transfer RNA (85 nucleotides) under Acidobacteriota bacterium. Its description in RNAcentral is "Acidobacteria bacterium tRNA-Ser". It matches the Rfam family "tRNA". Rfam says of the family: Transfer RNA (tRNA) molecules are approximately 80 nucleotides in length. Their secondary structure includes four short double-helical elements and three loops (D, anti-codon, and T loops). Lineage: Bacteria; Pseudomonadati; Acidobacteriota. RNAcentral also lists the same sequence under 1 other name. The record is from RNAcentral.